Molecule: long non-coding RNA, 272 nt
Filed under: Brachypodium distachyon (stiff brome)
Lineage: Eukaryota; Viridiplantae; Streptophyta; Magnoliopsida; Poales; Poaceae
Description: long non-coding RNA (BDIS_LNC006004)
Source: RNAcentral
CCAUUGUCCGUUAUUUUUUUUUCCUCCAGUUUUUUUCACGAUUUCUCCUACUCCGUCUUGCAACCGACGCCACCACAUCCGCAUGCCGACCUCGACGACACCAUGAGUUGCCUACACAUAAAAUAAAAAUAAAUAGUUUGUGAUUUUGUUGACCCAUAGCAACGCGCGGGCACACCUGUUAGUGUCAAUAAAAUUUGAGCGAGUCUAUGCAUAGUUUCGUUUAAUAAAAACAUCUUGGUACCCUAUGUGAAAAAAUAAAUUUAGUACCUUGA